Molecule: long non-coding RNA, 976 nt
Filed under: Mytilus galloprovincialis (Mediterranean mussel)
Lineage: Eukaryota; Metazoa; Mollusca; Bivalvia; Mytilida; Mytilidae
Source: RNAcentral
AUAAAUAUAGCUUCUAUUAUAAAUAUCACAGUCUAGCAAUACAGCACAUGAUUUUAUCACAAAUACACAUUAAAUAAAUCUAAAGCUUGAGUAUUUCAAACUUAAUAAUGUAUUACUCUUUUCAUAAGAAGAAAUAAACGAACUUCCAGAAAAAAUACUUCAAUUGUACAAAAAAAAGAGGAAAUCAUUUUCACAUAUAUAAAAAAAUAUCCCUAUGAUGUAAAAUCACAUUUACUACAUGGCACCAUGGUUUAAUUAACUCUAUGAUAAUUUACUAUUAAGCCCUGCUGAGUGUCAAAAAUCUACGAAAUAAAUAUCUAGUGGAAACAAGUUGUAAUACUGCUAUUCGUUUAUCUGAUUGAAAUACAGAUUUUGGGUCUGUCCUUUGUUUGACAACAAUCUGGUUCUACUUUAUGGUAUAAAGGCCUUUUGGGGUUCUCUGGGAUUUUCAUAACGAUAUACACUUUCAAAAAUUUGAAAGCUAAAAUUUCAUUGGCUGAUGUAAUGAUUACCAUAACAGAAAGUAGAAUCAAAAUGGAGAUAUUAUAUAGUGUCUUUAACAAUAUUAAAAGAGUAAAAUUACUAUAUUCAACUGGUAACGAUAUAUAUCAAUUAAAUUAAUUUGCAUUAAAGUCUAUGGAAAAUCUAGAGGAUUCAAUCCGCAUCACCUCUCAACAUUGUUUACAUAACACAAAUGCUAAUCAUUGAUUGGUCAGUUACAUGUUGUGAUGUCACUGUAGAUCUGAAAAUUGUUGCAGGCAAACUUGAGACACAGGAUCUGUAUUGUAAUUAGAUAGGCAAUUCUACAUCUACAAUGACUAGACAAAAAGUGCAAUAAACUCUUCAUAGAAAACUCUCAACUAUCACAGACACAACUUGUAGUAUUAUUUAAGUUUAUGUGCAAACAAUUAUAACAUACAAAUAGGGAAUUAAAAUCUUAAUUAACAUUUAGUAACAUUCAUCCUUAAGCAUGUUC